CACACGCAUGCUCCCACUGGCAGGCAUGACUGCAACACGCAGCUAAGAGUAGCUCUGUUAGAGAAGUGCCAGUGAGCAGAAGGAUCUGCAGUAAGAAGAGCUUCUGCUGUGACUCACCCAGAUAUUUCAAAGCCAGGAUUUUUGAAUAUUAUGGAAAAAGUCUGGCUGAGAGAUGGACAGUCCUAAAAAGCCACAAAAGUUACAGCUGUCUAAAUCAGAAGCUGAUAAUGGCAAUAUUAAUCUCCCAGAAAAACGCUCACCAAUCUCUUCUAGGAUCUGGCAGGAAGAAGACCCCACAUGCAAUCCUGGAUUUAGUGGAGAAGACCUUAGCAUGCGGAACUUUUGCAUCAGGGUGCAAAGUGACCAUGAAUUCAUGGAAGGAAGUUUCAGCUUUGACCUGGCUGGAGACAGCAUUUUAAGAGCUCAAAGAGAAAACUCUGUGGAAUCUGUGAGUCACCUUCCAGUUCAAGACCCUAAGCAUGUUGAAAUGUCAUUAAAUAAAGAUUAUCGGCAUUCAGAUUUAAACACAUGGGACACAAGUGAUUCAGAAUUUCAGUGCAAGAGAUCUCAAGAGUGUCCAUACACUACCUCAGUGGAAACAUCACAGAAGGACAAUUCAAUGGAUUGCAAAAUGGAAUGCAAGACUGAUGAAGGUAACCAGCACAGCCUUAACACUCUAAUAAAUCAGCAGCCCAAUUCAGAUAAUGAUGCAACUGGACAAGGAUGUUUCUCUGAAUCAUUGUCAACAGAGAGCAAAGUCACCAAGGUGCCUGAACAAAAAGUUUCAUUUUGUGAAAAACAUUUAGAUUUGGAAUCUUCUACUUGCUCUUCACAAUCUUCACAUGAAAUCAUUGGAGUGGAGCCAGACACAAAAGAGACACCCAAGGAUGUUGCAGAGACAGCACCAUAUAGCAAGAAUGUCAAUGCAGUCAAAGAACAAACACAAGUCUUGCCAAAUCCUUCUUCAGCCAAUAGUAAAGAACCUAGUCCUGAAGAUAAAAACUCAGAAGAAGCAUUAACAAAAUCAUCUAGGCAAGACAUUGAAACAAAAAUAAGUCAUGAGAAAGCAUCACUGGUCUCCACAGAAGGAGGCACUUCCGUGACUGAGUCAAAUCAAAACACUAAUACACUGUCUGAUCAAGUGACACACAGAUCUAUCGCAGUAAGUCCCAUUGUUCCUCCAGAAGGUAACCUGUCUUUUACCUUUCAAACUGCAACAAGGAUUCCAGAAACUUCAAAUAUACAAUACAGAACUGUGGCUGUGAGUCCUUUUGUUUUAGGCGAAGGAAACUCAUCAUUCUCAUUUCAGAGCGGAACGGCUACCAAUAUACAAUAUAGAUCUGUGGCUGUAAGCCCUAUUGUUCCAUCAGAAGGAAGCUCCUCCUUCCCUUUUCAGAAGGGAAUAGAAAAUCAGGAGACAUCUAAAGUACAAUAUAGAUCUGUGGCUGUGAGCCCAAUUGUUCCACCAGAGGGAAGCACAUCAUUUGCUUUUCAAAGUGGAUUGGGGACUCAAGAAAAAUCCAAUGUACAGUAUAGAUCUGUGGCAGUGAGCCCGAUUGUUCCACCAGAUGGAAGCUCAUCUUUCACUUUUCAAAGUGCAAUGGGUACUCAGGAAACAUCAAAUGUACAUUAUAGAUCUGUAGCUGUGAGUCCUAUUGUUCCACCAGAAGGAAGCUCAUCGUUCUCUUUUCAGAGUAGCAUGGGUACUCAAGAACACUCUAAAGUACAACAUAGAUCAGUGGCUGUUAGUCCAUUUGUUCAAACUGAUGGGUCUUCAUCCUUUACAUUUCAGUCUGAACACAACUCCCAGCCUGCUACAGAUCAGACAGGUUCAUCAAAUGUUUCCAAAGUCUAUACUUUUGAAUUAGCUUCUCCCAGUCAGGGUGUUGUAGCUGAGACCAGAGCUGAGUGUCGAUCCAUUGCAGUGAGUCCUAUAGUUCCACCUGAUGAGUCUACAUUUACAUUUCAGAUGCAGCAAAUCCCAUCAAACACAGCAAUGGGUUAUCAAAAAGAUAGUUUAGACUUACUUCCGAAAACAUAUUCAUUUGAACUGACACCUCCUAAUCAGGAUGUGGGGAUCCAGGCAGACACCAGAGCAGAAUGUGUUUCAGUUGCUGUGAGCCCAAUUAUCCCACCUGAUGAAUCUUCAUCUUUCAUAUUUCAGUCAGAUCAAACACAAAAGGAAUGGACCUUUAGCUGUAAUGAAAACAAGCCAGAUUGUGAGUUGCUUACACCAAACAAUCAAGAGAGUGGUAGUAAGCCUUACACUACCGUGCAAUAUGUAUCAGUAGCAGUGAGCCCCAUUGUGCCACCAGAAGGAUCCUCCACUUUUACAUUUCUAGCUGGUCAGGGAGCUGCCGGAGAUCAAGGCAGGACAAAAGACGGUCAAUGUAUAGAAAAUCUCUCAAAGACCUGUAACUUUGAGCUCAUUCCCCCUAGUCAUGAUGCUGUUCAGGCUAACCGAGUGGAAUAUAAAUCUGUAGCAGUAAGUCCUAUAGUCCCACCUGAGGGGUCGUCUUUUACUUUCCAAAGUGAAAAUAAAAAAGAUGAUCCUUACUCAAAGGAUGGGAAAGAAAAUUCUAACAGUGUUAAUGUUCUCUCUAAAACAUACUCUUUUGCGUUAAAGCCUCCCACCCAGGAUAUUGGGGUUCAAACUGACAAUAUAUCUGAAUUUGUUUCUAUAGCUGUUAGCCCAUUUGUGUUGUCUCAGGGUCCUGGGACUUUUACAUUCCAAGCAGAGGGCAAGCAGCAAGAAUUGGCCUCAAAACACCAAGACCAGACUAAAGAUGAUAACCAUUGCCAAACGCAUGAUUUUGGAACUCAGACUGACAAUGCUGUACAGUGUACAUCAAUAGCUGUUAGCCCCUUUCUACAUACAGAAGGAUCGUCUUUUCAGUUUCAAACUGAAAGCCCCUGUCCCAGCUCUCUAAAUGCAACAUGUUCAUAUGUUCUAGAGAAGCCAGUGAUGAAAGAUGCUGAGAUGCAGGUUUCUUUGUCAGCAGAGAUGAAAUCUGUUGCAAUAGACCCCAUGACACCUUUUCGUAAAUCGACUCAGACUUCUUACCCAGAGGUGCAAGUUAAAGCUAAAGGAGAUCAUCCAGAACCGGUGCGAGAAGUCAGCUGGGACGAAAAAGGAAUGACAUGGGAAGUUUAUGGAGCAUCCAUGGAAGUAGAAGUACUGGGAAUGGCCAUACAGAAACACCUAGAAAAACAAAUUGAGGAACAUGGGAGACAGAAAGUGAUGACACCUCAGAAUACAAGAGGGCUGAAAUCCACCCAUCACCACUGGUGACAGGCAGUUACCAACUGGUGUGCCAUGGACCAGAGGCAUACUAAGCAGCAGAACAACAGAGCUGAAAGGACUGUGAACCCUUCCCUUCCCCAUCUUGUUUGCUGUUGGAAGUGCCAGCAUUUGCCUAUGCUUUCCUAUGCCUAUGCUAUAUGUGAAUUACUCCAGCUAAUUUGACAUCUUUGGCUUUGAUGUGCUUUGUACUAAUGUCUUAAAAUGUCCUAAAAAUAGCACUGUAUUUAUGCAAACUGAAGCACAUGCCCAUAUUGUUUAGAACCUUCAUUUGGAAAGCAAGAAGCAUGUUACUUGUACUGUUCGCUAAACAAGUGUUUCUAACUUUCUUCAACAAUUUCUUAGUCUCUUCUUUCGUGACAUUUUGGAGGUGUUCCUUUCAUUUAAUGUGGUUGCCUUUACAGUGGGGAUUAUACGGCAGAGCUGGGUGACAGUAACGGACAUAUGACAAAUUGGCUGAGUUGCCCUGGCUGUAUGAAAUGUAUCAUGGGUUGCCGUUGGUUUGUUUAUGUCAAUGACAAUCAUUCAGCGGUGAGGAGCUUUUACAGCUUGCCAGCAAGAAGUUUACCUUGACCACGAACACUCGGAAUUUUUAACAAUUCAUAGAAUAGAAUAGUGUGAUGUCUUUCAAAACAGUAUUAGUUGUGAUAUGUUUCUAGAGAAAGGUUUUAGUAUUUUAAUACUGAGCUACAUGAUCAAAUAUCAAGAUUUGACUAGGGCUUCUCAAUGUAAAUAUGAUCAUAGAGAGACAAUCAGGAGUAUGUUAUCUUUACAGGAAAUCCACCGUAUAUUUGGAGGUGGGUGUCGAAUCAAUGGCCAAGAGGCAGAUCUCAUCCUCAGAGUUAGGCAUGUCAAUCUUUUUUUUAACACAUUUUUGUACAACUGUGACAAUCCUUCUUGACACUGAGCUAUUUCAAAGCAAGUGGCCACAAUCUCAGCUCUUCUCUUUGCAAGUCAUGAAGUGCCCUUAUACAGCCUUUGGAGCAGGCAAGUCUUUUGCUCAGCAUUGCUACCGAACCAGGACUGAUGUUUCAUGUUUUCUUGUCAUUUGAAAAUUGCGGACAGGAACCACUUGCCCAAUCUCUUAUAACAACAGAAGCCCGUAUGCUCCAAUGUUUCAUACUGCUUUAGCACAAUAAUAAUGUCUAACUCAGUAUACUCACGGGGCAUCAUCAGUGAGCUAUCCUACUGAAGGUAGAGGAUAUUGAGCAGUAUUUGGUAUGUGGCUAAUUUUUCUUAACGAAGAGUUUCCAUGUCCAUCUCAUAGAACAUUAGCAAACACAGUUAAGAUUACUUUUUUAUAUUCUAUUCUCUAGCAAUGCCUCAGCCCAAAUGACUGAUGGGUACGAGCUGGGCACCUUCCUCUCGCUGUGAUAUUCCUGUACUUUUGACUCCUAGUCUACAUUUCUCUUUCUUUGCUGUUCUGAUUAUGAUGUGAAUUUAUAAUGUGCCAUAGAAGUUUAAUUUAAUGUGUGAUGGUGGUGACAUAAUGUGGACUCGUCAUUUUUUUCCCUUCCAUUUUCCCAAGUUGUAGAGCUGAACAUUGGUUAAUAAAAAUUUUCGGAAAA
Xenopus laevis (African clawed frog) is the source of this 4869-nucleotide RNA transcript. RefSeq lists it as uncharacterized. The transcript has 4 exons. The record is from RefSeq and is a predicted model, not a curated record. NCBI's taxonomy places the organism in Eukaryota, Metazoa, Chordata, Amphibia, Anura, Pipidae.